GAUGAAGAACGUAGCGAAAUGCGAUAAGUAAUGUGAAUUGCAGAAUCCAGUGAAUCAUCGAAUCUUUGAACGCACAUUGCGCCCGCCAGCAUUCUGGCGGGCAUGCCUGUUCGAGCAUCAUUUCAACCCUCGACCUCCCCUUGGGGAGGUCGGCGUUGGGGACCGGCAGCACACCGCCGGCCCUGAAAUGGAGUGGCGGCCCGUCUGCGGCGACCUCUGCGUAGUAAUACAGCUCGCACCGGAACCCCGACGCGGCCACGCCGUAAAACACCCAACUUCUGAACGUUGACCUCGAAUCAGGUAGGACUACCCGCUGAACUUAAGCAUAUCAAUAAGCGGAGGA
This 343-nucleotide unclassified non-coding RNA is filed under the name soil metagenome. Its description in RNAcentral is "partial contains 5.8S ribosomal RNA, internal transcribed spacer 2, and large subunit ribosomal RNA". The stretch from base 1 to 120 matches the Rfam family "5.8S ribosomal RNA", at positions 35 to 154 of the family's 154-position model. The record is from RNAcentral.